UGCAAAGGUAGCAUAAUAAUUUGGCUUAUAAUUGAAGUCUUGUAUGAACGAAUACAUGGGGAAUAACUAUAUCAACAAUGUAAAAUGAAAUUACUAAAUACGUGCAAAUACGUAUAUUUACAUAAAAGACGAGAAGACCCUAGAAAUUUUUACUAUUUACGUUAACUGUUUUUGCUGGGGCGGCAUAGUAACAUGAAACUUACAUUAUUAUACAAGAAGUGAUAAUUUGCAGAAUGAUUAAAUUACUCUAGGGAUAACAGCAUAAUUUAUUAUAGUUUGUGACCUCGAUGUUGGAUUAGGAAGU
RNAcentral lists this ribosomal RNA (304 nucleotides) under Camaena cicatricosa. RNAcentral's name for it is "partial 16S ribosomal RNA". The record is from RNAcentral. Lineage: Eukaryota; Metazoa; Mollusca; Gastropoda; Stylommatophora; Camaenidae.